CCCUUAGACGUUCUGGGCCGCACGCGCGCUACACUGACACAGGCAACGAGCUUUCCUUUACCGAAAGGUAUGGGUAAUCUUUUGAAACUGUGUCGUGCUGGGGAUAGUUCCUUGCAAUUUUUGAUCUUAAACGAGGAAUUCCUAGUAAGCGCGAGUCAUCAACUCGCGUUGAUUACGUCCCUGCCCUUUGUACACACCGCCCGUCGCUACUACCGAUUGAAUGGCUUAGUGAGGCCUCAGGAUCCGCGCUUAAUGUGUGGAGAAUUUGGACAAACUACGUCAUUUAGAGGAAGUAAAAGUCGUAACA
This 307-nucleotide ribosomal RNA is filed under the name uncultured eukaryote. RNAcentral's name for it is "partial 18S ribosomal RNA". It matches the Rfam family "Eukaryotic small subunit ribosomal RNA", at positions 1470 to 1796 of the family's 1831-position model. The record is from RNAcentral.